UACGGAGGGUGCAAACGUUGCUCGGAAUCAUUGGGCGUAAAGCGCACGUAGGCGGCUUGCACAGUCAGGCGUGAAAUUCCUGGGCUCAACCUGGGGACUGCGCUUGAGACGUGUGGGCUUGAGUGGGGAAGAGGGUCGUGGAAUUCCCAGUGUAGAGGUGAAAUUCGUAGAUAUUGGGAAGAACACCGGUGGCGAAGGCGGCGACCUGGUCCUUGACUGACGCUGAGGCGCGAAAGCGUGGGGAGCAAACAGG
RNAcentral lists this ribosomal RNA (253 nucleotides) under uncultured bacterium. Its description in RNAcentral is "partial 16S ribosomal RNA". It matches the Rfam family "Bacterial small subunit ribosomal RNA", at positions 524 to 776 of the family's 1533-position model. The record is from RNAcentral.